ACGAAGCAGUACCGUAAGGAGCUGUGGACUGCAUGGAAGAGAGAAUGCCGGAAUGAGUAGCGAGAUAGAGGUGGGAAUCCUCUAGGCCGAAUAUCCAAGGUUUCCAGGGUAAAGCUGAUCUGCCCUGGGUGAGUCGGGACCUAAGGUGAGGGCGAGAGCCGUAGCCGAUGGACAACAGGUUGAUAUUCCUGUACUGCAGUAUGACAGAACUGUGGGGACACGUAAGGAGAGCGGGAGCCGGGAAUGGAAAGCCCGGUACAAGCGAGGUACCAGUAUGGUAGGAAAAUCCGCCAUGCAAUGGGAAGACGUGAUGUGGAGCGAAGAUUAGUAGCGAAGCCCGUGAGCCAUGCGUCAAGAAAAGCCGCUAUCGUUUAUAUUGUACCCGUACCGUAAACCGACACAGGUGGAUGAGGAGAGAAUCCUAAGGCCGGCGGAAGAAGUAUUGCCAAGGAACUCGGCAAAAUGGCCCCGUAACUUAGGGAGAAGGGGUGCCUGCGAGAGCAGGCCGCAGAGAAUAGGCUCAAGCAACUGUUUAGCAAAAACACAGGUCUAUGCGAAACCGAAAGGUGAGGUAUAUGGGCUGACGCCUGCCCGGUGCUGGAAGGUUAAGAGGAGAGGUUAGACGCAAGUCGAAGCUUUGAAUUUAAGCCCCAGUAAACGGCGGCCGUAACUAUAACGGUCCUAAGGUAGCGAAAUUCCUUGUCGGGUAAGUUCCGACCCGCACGAAAGGCGUAAUGAUUUGAGCGCUGUCUCGGCAAUACAUCCGGUGAAAUUGAAGUGCCAGUGAAGAUGCUGGCUACCCGCGCCAGGACGGAAAGACCCCAUGGAGCUUUACUCCAGUUUGGCACUGGGGUCCGGUGUUGCAUGUACAGGAUAGGUGGGAGGCUGAGAAACGGUAACGUCAGUUGCCGCGGAGCCGCUGUUGGGAUACCACCCUUGUGAUAUUGGGCUUCUAACCAGCCGCCGUGAUCCGGCGGUGGGACAAUGCCAGGCGGGGAGUUUGACUGGGGCGGUCGCCUCCGAAAGGGUAUCGGAGGCGCCCAAAGGUUCCCUCAGAAUGGACGGAAACCAUUCGAAGAGUGCAAAGGCAGAAGGG
This 1096-nucleotide ribosomal RNA is filed under the name human gut metagenome. Its description in RNAcentral is "bacterial LSU rRNA". It matches the Rfam family "Bacterial large subunit ribosomal RNA", at positions 1250 to 2365 of the family's 2925-position model. The record is from RNAcentral.